This 303-nucleotide ribosomal RNA is filed under the name uncultured Pseudomonas sp. RNAcentral's name for it is "bacterial SSU rRNA". It matches the Rfam family "Bacterial small subunit ribosomal RNA", at positions 1080 to 1382 of the family's 1533-position model. The record is from RNAcentral. Lineage: Bacteria; Pseudomonadati; Pseudomonadota; Gammaproteobacteria; Pseudomonadales; Pseudomonadaceae.
UUAAGUCCCGUAACGAGCGCAACCCUUGUCCUUAGUUACCAGCACGUAAGGUGGGCACUCUAAGGAGACUGCCGGUGACAAACCGGAGGAAGGUGGGGAGUGACGUCAAGUCAUCAUGACCCUUACGGCCUGGGCUACACACGUGCUACAAUGGUCGGUACAAAGGGUUGCCAAGCCGCGAGGUGGAGCUAAUCCCAUAAAACCGAUCGUAGUCCGGAUCGCAGUCUGCAACUCGACUGCGUGAAGUCGGAAUCGCUAGUAAUCGUGAAUCAGAAUGUCACGGUGAAUACGUUCCCGGGCCUU